AUAGGCAGGCGGCUGGCAGAGGUUAAGGCCUGACUUCUGCUCCCGGCCGACCCGGGUUCAAAUCCGCCUGCCGGCUCCUCGGGUGUUUGAGGAGUGUUGAAAUGGGAGGUGGCCCCCCAUCAUAUGGACGAUGUAGGACGUGAUAAAAUCAACUUGCGAGCUAACCAGGAACGAAGUUGAUGCGCCGGUGAUCCGCUAGAUUUGGUUGGAUGCUGGUGGUGAGUUGCCGAACCCAACGAAUACAUUCUGAAGUCGGAUGGGGUGACGGAUUAGGGUGCCCCUCUAGCAGGGGAGAGCAGGAACUGCCUCGGGAAAGGGGCCGCUGGCGAAGUUAACCACCCGG
This 343-nucleotide long non-coding RNA is filed under the name Volvox carteri. RNAcentral describes it as "long non-coding RNA (VCAR_LNC000498)". The record is from RNAcentral. Lineage: Eukaryota; Viridiplantae; Chlorophyta; Chlorophyceae; Chlamydomonadales; Volvocaceae.